AACGUAGGAUGCGAGCGUUUUCCGGAAGUAUUGGGCGUAAAGGGCGUGUAGGCGGUUUAGUAAGUUCAGUGUGAAAUCCCUUAACUUAAAUAAGGAAAUGCACUGAAUACUGCUAAGCUAGAGUAUGGGAGAGGGAGGUGGAAUUCCCGGUGUAGAGGUGAAAUUCGUAGAUAUCGGGAAGAACAUCCUUGGCGAAGGCGACCUCCUGGAACAAUACUGACGCUGAGGCGCGAAAGCGUGGGGAGCAAACAGG
This 253-nucleotide ribosomal RNA is filed under the name uncultured bacterium. Its description in RNAcentral is "partial 16S ribosomal RNA". It matches the Rfam family "Bacterial small subunit ribosomal RNA", at positions 524 to 776 of the family's 1533-position model. The record is from RNAcentral.